GACGAACGCUGGCGGCGUGCUUAACACAUGCAAGUCGAACGGAAAGGCCCUGCUUUUGUGGGCUGCUCGAGUGGCGAACGGGUGAGUAACACGUGAGUAACCUGCCCUUGACUUUGGGAUAACUUCAGGAAACUGGGGCUAAUACCGGAUAGGAGCUCCUGCUGCAUGGUGGGGGUUGGAAAGUUUCGGCGGUUGGGGAUGGACUCGCGGCUUAUCAGCUUGUUGGUGGGGUAGUGGCUUACCAAGGCUUUGACGGGUAGCCGGCCUGAGAGGGUGACCGGCCACAGUGGGACUGAGAGACGGGCCAGACUCCUACGGGAGGCAGCAGUGGGGAAUAUUGCACAAUGGGCGGAAGCCUGAUGCAGCAACGCCGCGUGAGGGAUGACGGCCUUCGGGUUGUAAACCGCUUUCGGCAGUGAAGAAGCGAGAGUGACGGUACCUGGAAAAGAAGCGCCGGCUAACUACGUG
RNAcentral lists this ribosomal RNA (468 nucleotides) under uncultured bacterium. RNAcentral describes it as "partial 16S ribosomal RNA". It matches the Rfam family "Bacterial small subunit ribosomal RNA", at positions 28 to 507 of the family's 1533-position model. The record is from RNAcentral.